RNAcentral lists this ribosomal RNA (355 nucleotides) under uncultured bacterium. Its description in RNAcentral is "bacterial SSU rRNA". It matches the Rfam family "Bacterial small subunit ribosomal RNA", at positions 8 to 353 of the family's 1533-position model. The record is from RNAcentral.
AGAGUUUGAUCCUGGCUCAGGAUGAACGCUAGCUACAGGCUUAACACAUGCAAGUCGAGGGAAACGAUAUUGGAAGCUUGCUCCGAUAGGCGUCGACCGGCGUACGGGUGAGUAACGCGUAUCCAACCUGCCCAUCACUUGGGGAUAACCUUGCGAAAGUAAGACUAAUACCCAAUGAUAUCUCUAGAAGACAUCUGAAAGAGAUUAAAGAUUUAUCGGUGAUGGAUGGGGAUGCGUCUGAUUAGCUUGUUGGCGGGGUAACGGCCCACCAAGGCAACGAUCAGUAGGGGUUCUGAGAGGAAGGUCCCCCCACAUUGGAACUGAGACACGGUCCAAACUCCUACGGGAGGCAGCA